RNAcentral lists this unclassified non-coding RNA (3759 nucleotides) under Leishmania donovani. Its description in RNAcentral is "gene:LdHU3.19.0350(CDS-product:hypothetical_prote in)". The record is from RNAcentral. Lineage: Eukaryota; Euglenozoa; Kinetoplastea; Trypanosomatida; Trypanosomatidae.
CAACGACACCCCACCUCUCCCUUACCCACUCACUCCCCGCCCACUUCCUCGUGUGGCGCAGUAAAGAAGAACACGACUCGGGUGCACACCGCCGCCGCCUCUCCCCACUCCUCUUCUAGAACGCGAACACAGAGCGCCUUCAAGUGGAGAACAGCAACAAAAGCAACAGGAUGAACGCCAUGUCGCCGUUUUACAGUCGGACCUACCCGACGAGGACAACCCCGCUCAUGUGGGAGGCGACGCAGACGCUGCAGAGCUCUCUGGUCGAUCAGAGCAGCGACAUGCGCCGCUCGCUGGACCUCGCCAUGUCGCUGCACGAGGUGCUGGAGAGAAAUCGAGAGAUUUACAACAAUAUCAUCGCCGAGCGCAACGAGGCCUACCGCCGUCUGCAGGACGCAGACGCGAAACUGCAGCAGGUCGAGCAUGUCGUCCGCCGCUACGCCGAGGUGAAGGAUCCGGUUGUGGCCAGUGACGGCUACACGUACGAGCGCACGGAGCUCAGCCGCUACCUUAGCGACUGCAAGAAGUCGAACAGCAAGGCCUACUCGCAGCAGACGAAGGAGGAGCUGACAGACGUGAUGGUAGACAACGUUUCGCUGCGCCGGCUGGCGGAGCUGUUGAAGGGCGUGCACUCGGUGGAGGUGCCUCAGCUGUCGAGCCGCCCGCUGCUAGCGGGCGGUGUUGUCGACGUUAAUGGCCCUCGCUCUCACUGGGCCGAGGAGGAUCCGUCAAUGAGCGGCGCGGAUCACACUGAGAUGGGUCACGGUCCUGUCGGCCUUGCGGGCGGCGCUGGUGGCCGUGGUGGGAAUGGGAUGGCAGUGGGCCUCGGCCACGCCGGCCUCCGCUAUGAUCGGAGCGGAGGUGCCAAGUACGGCAAGCCGAGCAACGGCAACGAGGGCAAGGGCGGGCUGCAUCCGUGCCUGCGCGUGUAUGGUUUCUGCAACUUCGAGGACGACUGCACGUUUGCGAACUACCCCUACGAGGCAUGCCUGAACCAUAUCAAGGGCAAGUGCCGAUUCGGCUCCACCUGCAAGGAGCUGCACGUUGACCCGCGCGACCCCGUCUACCAGAACACACGCAGCUUUGCCAACCAUCACCACCAGGGCGGCAACAGCGCGAACACCAACCACGCCCACAGCAACGCCGCUGCCUGUGCAAACAACGCGAACAGCAGCCAGGCAGCGGAUGUUGGCGCGGAGGCGUCGAGGCAGAGCGGGAGCAAGAUGCCGGACUCUGUAGCGGAAAGGGAGGCGGAGAUUGCGGCGGCCAAGAAAGACGGUAAGUCGAAGGAGACCGAGGAGCCCGCUUCCGCUGCCGGCGCAGAUGCCGCCAAGGCCAAGGACGAAUAAACCGGCGGCGGAGUGCGCCCGUGCGUGCGUGUGUGUGUGCCGCCCCUAUCUCUCCACCGACAUCUCCUCACUUUUGCACGCCUCGGUCCGCCUUCGCGCGUAGCGGAAGGUGAUGAGGGGAGCCGCGCUCGCAUGAUAACGGCGGGGCGGCAAGAGCGGACGGAGUACGGCCAUUCGCUUCGUUUUUUUCUCUCUUCCGUUCUCAAAGAUGACAACACGCCACGGGCUCUCUGUGCGCAGUCGCAUGCCUAUGCACAGGCCCCUUCGGCUGGCCACACCGACUCCUGUGGGAGGCGUGCGGAUUCAGGAGAGGGUGGUGUGUCCCCUGCCGCCACAGACUCAUGGCUGCGUCGCACCUGCCGUGGCACGCGCGGGCAAGCCCCGAAGACGCGCCCCGGUGAAAUGGGCGGAAGCAGAGGAUGAAGACAGCGAGCCCCCGAGACAGCAACGCCGUCCUGAAACAGGCCCCACGAUCUGAAAAUGUGAGCACUGUGUGCACGCGCUGCCAGCCACAGCUGGCAUGGUGCGUCGCAUUCACGCAAGGCAUCCAGAGGUCGGCAGAGCAAGGAUGAUGGACGGUGAAGGCGGGAAGAGAUCCACACGAAUGAACCCCCCCCCCCCCACACACACACAGUGCAUGCGUGCGAAGCAUGUGCGGCACGCCCUCCAUCCGACCGUGUGGGCUGACGCGGCGGGAAGCACGACGAGAACACGGCGAGCCGCGCCAUCGAGUCCUCCCGGCUCGAAUGUGGAGAGUCACUGCAGGAUCUUGUGGAAUGCCGUGGCUUGAGGCGACGGAGGGCGAAGCAUGGCAUGCGGCCCGGGCACAGGGACUCGGAGGGCCCUAGCCCGCAGCUGGCCAGCUUCCUGCUUGAACUCACCUGAGAUGCACCUUGACCACCUCCUGUUAUCCUCGCGGCGGACGCCACCGCUUCCGGCCUGGGGCUGGACCCUGGACGCAGCCCUCUCGGAUCAAGGCAUGCCGUCCUCCCGCGUCUCCGCCUGGCGCUGAUCGCGCAGCGCGUAUCGGAGAAGGGGACGAGGAAGGGCGAGACGAGUCCGCACGACGCACGGCCCGAUUCGACGGCAGCGACGGCUCGUCCUGGUGGACCAGGAGGUAGCCGUGGUGCAGCAGAGGUAGGCGAGCCUCGGUUGUGUCUGCGUGUGUAUGUUUGUCGACUUGUUCGCGCGAACGUGUGGAGAAUACCUUCUCAGCUCUUUCUCAUCUCUUCCUUUUUAUUGUGUUGCCCGCCGGCCACUCUUGGCGUUUUCGCGUGUGCGGGUGCUUGUGGAUGCCGGCGUGUUGUGUGACCGGGGGGGGGGAGAAGACCGCCUGCUUUUUAGACCCUUUCUCUUGCGUGCUGGAGUGUUGCGAGAUGCGGGCAGAUGGUGUGGAGCGACUGUUGGGGACGGCGACGCUCAUGGUACGGUCGACGGUGUGGCGCUUACCCCCUCGCGUUGUCUCUGCGCGCGUGCGAAUCCGUUUUCCUCAGCGUUGUCGAUGGGCAGGCGGUGCGCAGCCUCGUGUGGUCGUUCUCUCUAACAUGUGUCUCGCUGCCGCCAAGUGAUGCUGUGUUGCAUGUCUGGUGUUAUCCUUCUGUGUCCGUGUCGAUGCGUGCGCCUCUCUUUAUCUUUUCAGUUGUAUUAUGGUUUGUCCACCACGCGCUUCUGAUGCGAAGAGUGGGUGGGGUGACCUGUCCGAUGGUGUGUGUGUGUGUGAUGCGGGGUGUGGAGACAGAAAAUGUUGUGUAAACGGCCAAGCCAAAGAAAAAUGGGAGGGGGAGUGUGGGAGGAGAAGAGGGUGGGAAGCUGCUCCUGUGCUCUCUGUAAGCGAGUGUUUCACCUUCAUCUUUUUUUUUUGUUCGCUGCUGGCGAAGGGAACGAACAAGGUCAGAGCGAGCAGCAAACACAAGAGGAAGCAACAAGAAGGAGAGCAGGGACUGAAGGGGGGAAGAGGGCAAGAGAGCGUCGAGGAGAGGCAGUCUGCAGAUGUGCAGCAAAGGGGUGUGGUGGGGGAGGUGUGUGGUGUGUGUGUGUGUGUGUAUGCGUGUGUGUGUGGGGGGGUGAGAGAAUGGCGAGGAGCACGGCGACCUGUUGCAUUCACUUGGGCUGUCAUCGUCUCUCACGUGACUCGUGUCUCGUGAGAAGUUGGGGCCUGGAGUCAAUCUGGCUUUCCAUGCACACACGCAAGCACACGCAUCCUCUGCUGCGUGUUGGUUUCUCGGCUGCCCACUUUCUCCGUUCCGCGUGUGCGUGUAUGCAUGCCGUGCGCACCGACGCAGACAGCUGAAGAUGGCCGUUUGUGCGUCCCCCUUUCCAUCCUUGCCUUUUCACAACGCCUCACACCCCUCUUGGAUUCUCUUUCCAUUCUCUUCUCUUACCUUGCUUGACAUGUUUCCCUGGCCUGAAC